This 683-nucleotide ribosomal RNA is filed under the name uncultured bacterium. RNAcentral's name for it is "bacterial SSU rRNA". It matches the Rfam family "Bacterial small subunit ribosomal RNA", at positions 173 to 832 of the family's 1533-position model. The record is from RNAcentral.
AUAAAGUCACUGGGCGCAAGCUCGGUGAUGAAAGGGGGCCUCUGCAUAGCAAGCUCCUGCCUGGGGAGGGGCUCGCGGCCCAUCAGCUAGUUGGUGGGGUAACGGCCCACCAAGGCUAUGACGGGUAGCCGGCCUGAGAGGGUGGUCGGCCACACGGGCACUGAGACACGGGCCCGACUCCUACGGGAGGCAGCAGUGGGGAAUCUUGGGCAAUGGGCGAAAGCCUGACCCAGCGACGCCGCGUGGGGGAAGAAGGCCUUCGGGUCGUAAACCCCUGUUCUGGGGGAAGAACCCUGAAUGGGUUAAGAGCCCAUUCAGGCUGACGGUACCCCAGGAGCAAGCCACGGCUAACUGCGUGCCAGCAGCCGCGGUAAUACGCAGGUGGCAAGCGUUGCCCGGAAUCACUGGGCGUAAAGGGUGCGUAGGCGGCAAGGCAAGUCGCAGGUCAAAGCCCGGGGCUCAACCCCGGAAGGGCCUGCGAUACUGUUUUGCUUGAGGGCCGGAGAGGUUGGCGGAAUUCCCGGUGUAGGGGUGAAAUCCGUAGAUAUCGGGAGGAACACCGGUGGGGAAGCCGGCCAGCUGGACGGUCCCCGACGCUGAGGCACGAAAGCGUGGGGAGAAAACCGGAUUAGAUACCCGGGUAGUCCACGCCGUAAACGAUGGGUGCUAGGUCUGGGGAGGAA